RNAcentral lists this ribosomal RNA (326 nucleotides) under uncultured eukaryote. RNAcentral describes it as "partial 18S ribosomal RNA". It matches the Rfam family "Eukaryotic small subunit ribosomal RNA", at positions 1470 to 1796 of the family's 1831-position model. The record is from RNAcentral.
CCCUUAGAUGUUCUGGGCCGCACGCGCGCUACACUGAAGGGAUCAGCGUGUUUUCCCUUCCCGAGAGGGACGGGUAACCCGCUGAACCCCCUUCGUGGUAGGGAUCGGAGCUUGCAAUUGUUCUCCGUGAACCAGGAAUUCCCAGUAAGCGCAAGUCAUAAGCUUGCGUUGAUUACGUCCCUGCCCUUUGUACACACCGCCCGUCGCUACUACCGAUUGAACGUGUUAGUGAGGUAUUUGGACUGGGCCUUGGGAGGUUUCGGCCUCCCUUGUUGCUCGGAAAGACUCCCAAACUUGAGCGUUUAGAGGAAGUAAAAGUCGUAACA